ACGCUCGACACCUACGAGAGGCAGCAGGUGGGGAAUAUUGCACAAGUGGGGGAAACCCUGAUGCAGCGAUGCCGCGUGAAGGAAGAAGUAUCUCGGUAUGUAAACUUCUAUCAGCAGGGAAGAAAAUGACGGUACCUGACUAAGAACGCCCCGGCUAACUACGUGCCAGUAGCCGCGGUAAUCUGAGCGGGCUGGCAAGGC
This 201-nucleotide ribosomal RNA is filed under the name uncultured bacterium. RNAcentral describes it as "partial 16S ribosomal RNA". It matches the Rfam family "Bacterial small subunit ribosomal RNA", at positions 328 to 539 of the family's 1533-position model. The record is from RNAcentral.